UUUCUGGGCGUGUGUGUGUGUGUGUACGAGCAGAGGAGAAGAAAGGAAGGGGGAGCCCUUCUCAAACCCUAAGCAACGAAUUGGAAGGAUUCUGGCCGAAAUCGAACCUGCAUGAACCUUAAUAGUGAUAAUCUAAGCAAGAUGUAACCAAGGAAACCAUGUUUAUGAGAACGUGUCAAGGAGAGCUCAAGCAUAGGAGGAUAACGGGUCAAGAUAAGGCAAGGUGACAAAUACACUUAUUGGAGUACUCAAGGUAAUGCAGGAAUGAGAACGACGGAUUCUCGUGGAAUGGAAGCUGAACUCGGAACGAGAGAAUCCAAGAGGAUAGUCGGAUAAAUCAAAGUUUACUUUGUCGAAUUUUAUACUAUUUAAUUAUAUGUGAAUUUGUGAUGUGCGUGAAGUGUGUUAUAUUUUUAGAUAUAUAUUUAAGCCCUUUUUACACUUUUAGCCAAGUUUUAAAUUUAUAAAACACGAUAUUUACUAACACUAAACACACAUAUGGGCAAGUGCACCCAUCGUGGACGUAGUAUAGUGUUGGUAAGAUACCGAGGUCGUCCAAGGACACAAGAGCUUUUAAUACCGGUUUAUCCUCAACGUCUAAUCAAAUCAAAAAGUUAGAAAAAUGUUUUAAACUAAGAAAAAUAAAAACUAACUA
This 655-nucleotide long non-coding RNA is filed under the name Helianthus annuus (common sunflower). Its description in RNAcentral is "sRNA HanXRQr2_Chr09g0394941". Lineage: Eukaryota; Viridiplantae; Streptophyta; Magnoliopsida; Asterales; Asteraceae. The record is from RNAcentral.